RNAcentral lists this long non-coding RNA (1248 nucleotides) under Numida meleagris (helmeted guineafowl). RNAcentral's name for it is "lncRNA (ENSNMEG00000012520.1)". Lineage: Eukaryota; Metazoa; Chordata; Aves; Galliformes; Numididae. The record is from RNAcentral.
AUGCACGCAGCAGGUGUGGACACACAUAGCAGGUGCAGUGAGGAUGCAUGCGACAGGUGCAGAGGCACGCAGCAGGUGCCACGCAGGAUGCAAUGCAGGCUCGAUGCAGGAUGCACACAGCAGGUGCAGUGCCGGGCGCGCACAGCCUGGGACAGCCCCGCGCCCGCCGGCGGCCCCUUUAAGGCUGCGGGGCGGGGCGGCGCGGCGGGGCCGGGUGUGGGGUUGCGGCUCCCGGUGCUGGCGGCGGCGGCGGGGGGGCUCCGGCCGUGCCCGGCCCAUGGCCCGGCCCCCGGCGCCUCCCGGGGCCCCGCGCUGCUUCGGGGCGCUGAGCACGGGGCAGCUGCGGGCGCUGCUGCAGGACGAGCCCCGGCUGCAGCGCGCCGUCCGCCUCAGCAGGAAGUUCCAGGAGCUGCAGCGGGAGCGGGAGGAGCGGCUGGCGGCCAACAGCGCUCUGGCCCGGGACAACCUGGCGCUGCGGCCGCGGCUGGAGGACGGGAAGGCGGCGCUGGCCAUCAAAUACCAGGAGCUGCGCGAGGUGCGCGAGGCGUGCCGGGCCAAGCUGCGGCGCCUGGAGGUGUACCUGGAGGAGUGCGGCCCGCAGCGCGCCCUGGGCCGGCUCCGAGCCGCGCUGGACGCGUCCGAGGAGGAGGCGGAGGCGCAGAUGCAGCGGUUCCUGGCGCACGAGGUGCCCCUCGAUGCCUUCCUGGAGUCCUUCUGCCGGAGCCGCGCGCGCUCCCACGUCUCUCGGACGCAGCUGGAGAAGCUGCAGGAGCUGCUGCAGAGGGGCCGGGACCCUGCGGGGGAGCCCCCGGGGCUCAGCCCGGCGCCGGGCCGCGGCACGGCCUCCCCCAGAGCCCUACAGCUGCGCUACGGCUUCGUGCCCGCCGUCCUCGUCCCCGCGGCGGCCGUGGUGCCCUUCGCCGUGCCGCCCAAGCAUCGUCUCCCGGCCCUGAGACAGCCGCCGGCCGCCCCGCACCUCGCCCCGCACGCGGCCCCGCUCAGUCCCCGGCCCUUCCGCCGUCGGGAGCCGGAGCCGCUGCAGCCGUAGAGGUGUGGGGCCGGGGAACGGCGGGCGCGAACUCCGGGAGCUGCUGCGUGCGGGGAAGAAGCUGCUGCAUCCGCUGCAGAAGUGGGGAGAGGGUGUGGGUCGGUGGGGUGGUGGUAGAGGGGAAAAGGGUCCAGGAGCACGAGCUGCUGUACGCUCCCCAAAUAAAUGCUCUGUUCUGCACCGCGUGGGCCUGGCUGUGA